This 284-nucleotide long non-coding RNA is filed under the name Prunus persica (peach). Its description in RNAcentral is "long non-coding RNA (PPER_LNC008793)". The record is from RNAcentral. Lineage: Eukaryota; Viridiplantae; Streptophyta; Magnoliopsida; Rosales; Rosaceae.
GGUGUAAUGUAUAGUUCUAGAGAUUGGAUUUCUCUCAAAACCCACCAAAUGACUCCUCGCACAAGAUUAUGAUGUUCCCCAAGUUUUGGACUCAAUCCGAUAUCGAUUGGUCCUUGAAAUCGGACAAUUCAAGUUCGUACGAAGUUCGUUCUGAAAUGGGGAGGUUGGUGUAUUGUAUAGUUCUAGAGAUUGGAUUUCACUCAAAACCCACCAAAUGACUCCUCCCACAAGAUUAUGAUGUUCCCCAAGUUUUGGACUCAAUCCGAUAUCGAUUGGUCCUUGAA